RNAcentral lists this ribosomal RNA (266 nucleotides) under uncultured Corynebacterium sp. Its description in RNAcentral is "partial 16S ribosomal RNA". It matches the Rfam family "Bacterial small subunit ribosomal RNA", at positions 89 to 354 of the family's 1533-position model. Lineage: Bacteria; Bacillati; Actinomycetota; Actinomycetes; Mycobacteriales; Corynebacteriaceae. The record is from RNAcentral.
CGAGGUGGACGGAACGGGUGAAGUAACACGGUGGGUCGACCGCCCUGCACUUCGGGAUAAGCCUGGGAAACUGGGUCUAAUACCGGAUAGGACCAUGGUGUGGAUACUGUGGUGGAAAGUUUUUUCGGUGUGGGAUGGGCCCGCGGCCUAUCAGCUUGUUGGUGGGGUAAUGGCCUACCAAGGCGGCGACGGGUAGCCGGCCUGAGAGGGUGGACGGCCACAUUGGGACUGAGACACGGCCCAGACUCCUACGGGAGGCAGCAGGC